CGCCCCCGCCGCAGGCGCCCUGGCCCGGAGGGCAUUAGCUGUUCUUGGGUGUUAAUAAGACAAGAAAGCGUAUUCUCUACGGCUGACAGCGUUGCUCUCAAGCUGCUCUGGGUGGGUUUUUUUGUCCUAAACCUGUGGUGAGAUCCUGGCUCAGAAUAACAAGAAUCAGCUGAACUGCAAAACUCCAGUUGUCCCCAGCCCACCCUUCUGCCAGUGUUGACCCGCCUGCCCUCAGGAUGCAACCUACCGACUGACAGGUGGAAUUUGGAGUGCAGCUCUUGGAGAGAAAAUACGAGCAGCAGCCCAAGGAAUCCUUCCCAUCCUUGGAGCAGCGCCAGCAGAGAGAGGAGCGCGGGGGAUCCCGUUAAGGAAGCGGCGCCUCCGUGCUGAGAACGCCUCGGCCGCGCGGAGCCGGGAGCCUCCCAGAGCCGGGAGCCGCGGCCAGGGCGGGACGGGAGAUGUGCCUCUCUCACCUGUCUGCAGAAGCGGCGCUACACGCUUCCAUUCCCGUUCCCGUUCCCGUUCCCUGCAGGUGUCCGCCAGAGGGGGCCCGGCCCCCGCGGUUCUCCAGCUCCUGAGCCGAAGGCCGUUUGGCAGCAGAGCAGCAGCUUUCCCUUAUUUCUCUUUUUUGCCCGCGGCUGUUUCCCAUGACUACAAAAGCAUAGCGCUCAAAGGCUCUGAUUUGCCUCCCAGGCAGGAACCAGGAC
This is a long non-coding RNA of Serinus canaria (Common canary), 707 nucleotides long. RefSeq lists it as uncharacterized. The record is from RefSeq and is a predicted model, not a curated record. The transcript is spliced from 3 exons. Lineage: Eukaryota; Metazoa; Chordata; Aves; Passeriformes; Fringillidae.